AGGUUAUGGAGCAUUUACACACAGUCCUGACAGAAAAGAUGUGUGUCAGCAAGCCAGUACAUGGAUCCAUCUACACAAGAUACAGAUCAUAUGAAAACCUGAAAAAUCAACACCUAGAACAUAUCCUGAGAGAAAACAUUUUAAUGGGAGUACAUUACAUGAACCUGGUUUUGGUUAAAGAAUCUAUAGUGUAUCUGAUAUGUAAGAGAACAGGUUUACCAUACGAAGAAGCAGAUGAAAGAUGCACUCUUACAGAGCGUUCUGUACAGGAUGAA
Molecule: long non-coding RNA, 275 nt
Organism: Saccostrea echinata
Lineage: Eukaryota; Metazoa; Mollusca; Bivalvia; Ostreida; Ostreidae
Exons: 3
Source: RefSeq, a predicted model, not a curated record